RNAcentral lists this ribosomal RNA (447 nucleotides) under uncultured bacterium. RNAcentral's name for it is "SSU rRNA". It matches the Rfam family "Bacterial small subunit ribosomal RNA", at positions 26 to 518 of the family's 1533-position model. The record is from RNAcentral.
AGAGCGAACGCUGGCGGCAGGCUUAACACAUGCAAGUCGAGCGGGCGUAGCAAUACGUCAGCGGCAGACGGGUGAGUAACGCGUGGGAACGUACCUUUUGGUUCGGAACAACCCAGGGAAACUUGGGCUAAUACCGGAUAAGCCCUUACGGGGAAAGAUUUAUCGCCGAAAGAUCGGCCCGCGUCUGAUUAGCUAGUUGGUGGGGUAAUGGCCCACCAAGGCGACGAUCAGUAGCUGGUCUGAGAGGAUGAUCAGCCACAUUGGGACUGAGACACGGCCCAAACUCCUACGGGAGGCAGCAGUGGGGAAUAUUGGACAAUGGGCGCAAGCCUGAUCCAGCCAUGCCGCGUGAGUGAUGAAGGCCCUAGGGUUGUAAAGCUCUUUGUGCGGGAAGAUAAUGACGGUACCGCAAGAAUAACGCCCGGCUAACUUCGCGCCAGCAGCCGC